UUUUAAAAAUUUUUUAAAAAAAGAUUAUCGGAAUAUAUUUGACGUUAUAACGUUAUAUGACGUUAUGAGUCGGGAUGGAAUGGAUGAGAUGGGUCGGACGUGACUCAAUAAUGAGAUAUGGGAAGAUCAUCAAUUGUUUGAGAAUUAUUUAUAUUAUUAUUAUCCACUUUGAUCAUGUACGGCAGGAAACCUGAGCAUGAUUUUAAUCUACCGAGUUGAAGUUUAUGGUAAAAAAGAUAUGGAAAUGGCCAGAUAUGUCUGUUUUUGCUAUACCUUUAUUUAAGUCACUGUUAAAAAUAUCAGUUGUUAGAAUGUUAUGCAGAUUUUGGAGAUACUCUGGUCAGGCGGUUUAUCAAAGGAAUCGGCUCCCAUUUUAAAUUGAGUCAUAAAAAUGUUAAACUUUAAUGUCGGAAGUGGAAGCAAUUCAUAUUGAAAUCAAUAAAAUAAUAAAAUUCUUUUUUUUUUCAA
This is a non-coding RNA of Hydra vulgaris (swiftwater hydra), 468 nucleotides long. The record is from RefSeq and is a predicted model, not a curated record. NCBI's taxonomy places the organism in Eukaryota, Metazoa, Cnidaria, Hydrozoa, Anthoathecata, Hydridae.